Molecule: ribosomal RNA, 484 nt
Filed under: uncultured bacterium
Lineage: Bacteria
Description: partial 16S ribosomal RNA
Rfam family: Bacterial small subunit ribosomal RNA
Source: RNAcentral
AGUGAACGCUGGCGGCGUGCUUAACACAUGCAAGUCGAACGAGAACGGGUUAUAGCUUGCUAUAAUUGUCAGCUAAGUGGCGCACGGGUGAGUAAUGUAUAGGUAAUAUGCCUCUUACUAAGGGAGAACAAAUGGAAACGUUUGCUAAUACCUUAUACUCCUUAUUAACAUAAGUUAAUAAGGGAAAGAUUUAUUGGUAAGAGAUUAGCCUGUAUUGUAUCAGUUAGUUGGUGGGGCAAUGGCUUACCAAGACUAUGACACAUAACUGGUUUGAGAGGAUGAUCAGUCACACUGGAACUGGGACACGGUCCAGACUCCUACGGGAGGCAGCAGUGGGGAAUAUUGCACAAUGGACGAAAGUCUGAUGCAGCAACGCCGCGUGGAGGAUGACACAUUUCGGUGCGUAAACUCCUUUUAUAUGAGAAGAUAAUGACGGUAUUAUAUGAAUAAGCACCGGCUAACUCCGUGCCAGCCGCCGCCGUAA